Molecule: ribosomal RNA, 867 nt
Filed under: Triticum aestivum (bread wheat)
Lineage: Eukaryota; Viridiplantae; Streptophyta; Magnoliopsida; Poales; Poaceae
Description: partial small subunit ribosomal RNA
Source: RNAcentral
AUGGAGAGUGUUGCAGUGUUGAUUGUUGGUGCUGGGCCAGCAGGCCUCGCAACGGCAGCAUGCCUUAGCCAAUUCGCAAUUCCUUAUGUCAUAGUCGAGCGUGAGAGCUGUAGCGCGUCACUUUGGCGCAACCGCGCGUAUGAUCGCCUCAAGCUGCAUCUUGCAAAGGAGUUCUGUGAGUUGCCACACAUGUCAUACCCUGUAGAUGCACCAAUAUACAUACCAAAAAACUUGUUUGUGAAGUACUUGGAUGAUUAUGUUGAGCAUUUCAACAUUCAACCGAAGUAUCUCACCUGCGUGGAGUCAUCCACAUAUGACAAUGAUGAAAAAUGUUGGUCCAUUGUGGCAAAGGACAUGUCAAAGUGCACCACAGUCAAGUUCACGGCAAAGUUUCUUGUUGUGGCAAGUGGUGAGAAUAGUGCAGAGAAUAUUCCAAUGAUCCCUGGACUAGAAAGCUUUCCAGGUGAUGUCAUCCACUCCUCAAGCUACAAGUCAGGCAAGAGCUACUCUGGCAAGAAUGUAUUGGUCGUUGGAUCCGGCAACUCCGGGAUGGAAAUUGCUUAUGACCUUGCGACCCAUGGUGCCAACACAUCGGUUGUUAUACGAAGCCCGAUUCAUGUAAUGACAAAGGAAUUAAUUCAUUUGGGCAUGACACUUGCUCACCAUCUUCCAUUGAAUCUAGUGGAUAAACUCCUUGUGAUGGCAGCGUAUUUAAUAUUUGGAGACCUGUCACGACAUGGCAUCACAAGGCCAAAAAUGGGUCCAAUGACCCUCAAAGCAGAAACAGGUCGAUCUGCAGUGAUUGAUGUUGGGACUGUUGGAUUGAUCAAAAAAGGCAUCAUCAAAGUAAGUAUAUCCUUGACAUGA